AUGAUCCUCCUACCUCAGCCUCCCAAGUAGCUAAGACUACAGAAUGGCAAAGAUUGAAAAGACCAAUAAGACCUAUUUUCUGGGAGGAUGCAAGAAAAUACAAUUUCAUAACAGAGGGCGAAAAUUUCUGGAGGCUGGGAAGUCCAAGAAAAAGGUGCCAGGUGAUUCAGUUCCUGGUGAUGGCUCUUCUCCUGGCUUGUAGACAGCUGCCUUCUUGCUGCAUACUCACCUGGCAACGAGUGAGAGUGAGGAGAAGGAGUAGAGAAGAUGAGAAGGAGGAAGGGAAGAGCAGAGCAGGAGGAGGGGGAGAUCUCUUCCUUUUCUUCUAAGGUCACCAAUCUUAUUGUUUUAAGACCCCAACCUUAUGACCUUCUUUAUCUCCUAAAAGCACUAUCUGCAAAUAGAAUCACAGUGGGAGACAGGUUCCAACAUACAUGUAUGAAUGGGGACAUAAUUCAUUGCAACAGAUAAUUCAUGGACAUAAUUCAUAGCAACAGAUUACCAUGGGAAUUAAGGAAAAACACGACAUGAUUUCUAAUUAAUCAAUGACA
Microcebus murinus (gray mouse lemur) is the source of this 551-nucleotide non-coding RNA. The record is from RefSeq and is a predicted model, not a curated record. NCBI's taxonomy places the organism in Eukaryota, Metazoa, Chordata, Mammalia, Primates, Cheirogaleidae.